UACGUAGGGCGCAAGCGUUAUCCGGAAUUAUUGGGCGUAAAGAGCUCGUAGGCGGUUUGUCGCGUCUGCUGUGAAAGACCGGGGCUCAACUCCGGUUCUGCAGUGGGUACGGGCAGACUAGAGUGCGGUAGGGGAGACUGGAAUUCCUGGUGUAGCGGUGGAAUGCGCAGAUAUCAGGAGGAACACCGAUGGCGAAGGCAGGUCUCUGGGCCGCAACUGACGCUGAGGAGCGAAAGCAUGGGGAGCGAACAGG
This 253-nucleotide ribosomal RNA is filed under the name uncultured bacterium. RNAcentral describes it as "partial 16S ribosomal RNA". It matches the Rfam family "Bacterial small subunit ribosomal RNA", at positions 524 to 776 of the family's 1533-position model. The record is from RNAcentral.